Molecule: ribosomal RNA, 253 nt
Filed under: uncultured bacterium
Lineage: Bacteria
Description: partial 16S ribosomal RNA
Rfam family: Bacterial small subunit ribosomal RNA
Source: RNAcentral
UACGGAGGGGGCUAGCGUUGUUCGGAAUUACUGGGCGUAAAGCGCACGUAGGCGGCUUUGUAAGUUAGAGGUGAAAGCCCGGAGCUCAACUCCGGAAUUGCCUUUAAGACUGCAUCGCUUGAAUCCAGGAGAGGUGAGUGGAAUUCCGAGUGUAGAGGUGAAAUUCGUAGAUAUUCGGAAGAACACCAGUGGCGAAGGCGACACACUGGCCCGUUACUGACGCUGAGGCGCGAAAGCGUGGGGAGCAAACAGG